Molecule: ribosomal RNA, 447 nt
Filed under: uncultured bacterium
Lineage: Bacteria
Description: bacterial SSU rRNA
Rfam family: Bacterial small subunit ribosomal RNA
Source: RNAcentral
UGGGGAAUAUUGGACAAUGGGCGCAAGCCUGAUCCAGCCAUGCCGCGUGAGUGACGAAGGCCUUAGGGUUGUAAAGCUCUUUUGGCGGGGACGAUAAUGACGGUACCCGCAGAAUAAGCCCCGGCUAACUUCGUGCCAGCAGCCGCGGUAAUACGAAGGGGGCUAGCGUUGUUCGGAAUUACUGGGCGUAAAGCGCACGUAGGCGGAUUUGUCAGUCAGGGGUGAAAUCCCGAGGCUCAGCCUCGGAACUGCCUCCGAUACAGCAAGUCUCGAGUCCGGAAGAGGUGAGUGGAAUUCCUAGUGUAGAGGUGAAAUUCGUAGAUAUUAGGAAGAACACCAGUGGCGAAGGCGGCUCACUGGUCCGGUACUGACGCUGAGGUGCGAAAGCGUGGGGAGCAAACAGGAUUAGAUACCCGAGUAGUCCCUGAGCGGGCUGGCAAGGCGCAU